Molecule: long non-coding RNA, 1127 nt
Filed under: Cricetulus griseus (Chinese hamster)
Lineage: Eukaryota; Metazoa; Chordata; Mammalia; Rodentia; Cricetidae
Description: lncRNA (ENSCGRG00015042010.1)
Source: RNAcentral
CUGUAAGUCAGUUACUUGAAAUAAGUUAGUUUUCCCUUUGUCUUUCAGUCUCUGUUUGGGGAAUCUCUCAUUCCUACAACUCUUUACCUCUUCUAAACAGAGAGGAAAGCUGGCCCUGACUCCUUGAUGCCCUCAUGAUAUAUGCCUUUGAUAGACUGGGCAGUCCCAUUCCAGGAAGAGAUGAUUAACAGUAUGGUCUAAUAAUCAACGAGGUCUUUCUGGUGCUGGAGACCAGCAAAGACCCAGAGCUUAUACAUACAUUCUAGGCAAGCACUCCACCCACUGAACUGUAGGCCAGCUCCUUCCCAGGUAGGAGAUGUUCAUGUAAAUGAAGGUGGGAGAGGAAAGGCUCUUUGAAAAAGAAAGUGGGGGUGGGCAGGGUUAUGCCAUCUGCCCUUAGUAUCUACUUAUGCUCCUACUAUGUUCCUUACUGUUCUAUAUUUUUUUUUCAUGUGGGAUCUUGCCAUCCUGACCCUAUCCCCAGUUCCCUGAAAACUUUGGCUCCUGUUUCCACUUCUUUCAUCAUUGUGAAUGACUUCAGCUUCUAACAACAGCUGGCCUUCUAAUGCCUCAGCCACUUGUUCCCUUACUUCCUGACAUCUAAUGACCAUUUUAUGCUUCACAGUCCCAAGUUUUAUCUCAGUCCUUGUUAUCAUCAGUAACUUUCCAGCUCCAAAGCUUCCAUUUCAAAAUCUACUUAUUUUACACGCCCUCUGUCUUAUUCUUCCAGCUCACUUGCUCUAACAUCCCUCUGCUAUAGUCCUUGGACCAGAAAGACCCACUGUUUUAUCCAUUGUGCUCUCACUAUCCGUUCAUGCCUCCUAGUCUUAGCUGUACAUUUCCCCUGUCGCCUGGGAUUGUGUAUCAUUCCACUGUCUUUAACAAUACUGACAUCAUAGCAGAUGUUUUUUACUAGGUGGAGAAGCAAGCAUCCUGCUCACCACUUGAACCCAUGGAUUCUUAUCAGUUGGUGAUGUGGUACCUUUGAAGGAAUGUAGAUACAAUUUCUCAGCAGGGCAUGGUAAAGAUCUUGGAUUUAGGAUAGGAAAUGGGAGAGCCAAGCAGAAGACAAGAAGAAAGGGGCGAGGGGAGAGAGAUUCAACAAAAUGGUAAAGAUCAACACAGAG